UAAGGAAUAUUGCUCAAUGGGAGAAAUCCUGAAGCAGCAACGCCGCGUGGAGGAUGAAGGGUCUAUGACUUGUAAACUCCUGUAAAGAAGGAAAAAAUUCCCAUUUGAUGGGAGAUGAUGGUACUUCUGGAGUAAGCCCCGGCUAACUACGUGCCAGCAGCCGCGGUAAUACGUAGGGGGCAAGCGUUGUCCGGAUUUACUGGGUGUAAAGGGUGCUCAGGCGGAUUUGUAAGUCAGAGGUGAAAUCUUACAGCUUAACUGUGAAACUGCCUGUGAUACUGCAAGCCUAGAGUAUGGAAGAGAGUGAUGGAAUAUCUGGUGUAGCAGUGAAAUGCGUAGAUAUCAGAUAGAACACCAAUGGCGAAGGCAGUCACUUGGUCCAUUACUGACGCUAAAGCACGAAAGCGUGGGUAGCAAACA
RNAcentral lists this ribosomal RNA (420 nucleotides) under uncultured bacterium. RNAcentral's name for it is "bacterial SSU rRNA". It matches the Rfam family "Bacterial small subunit ribosomal RNA", at positions 355 to 774 of the family's 1533-position model. The record is from RNAcentral.